AUGCGUAGGGUACAAACGUUAUCCGGAUUUACUGGGCGUAUAGAGAUGCGUAGGCGGUUUGAUAAGUCUUGAGUUAAAGACCUCGGCUCAACCGAGGAAGAGCUUUCGAAACUAUCAGACUUGAGACAUAGAGGGGUGAACGGAAUUCCGAGUGGAGUGGUGAAAUACGUUGAUAUUCGGAGGAACAUCGGUGGCGAAAGCGGUUCACUAGCUAUUGUCUGACGCUAAGGCUCGAAAGCGUGGGUAGCAAAACGGAUUAGAUACCCGUGUAGUCCACGCUGUAAACUAUGGAUGCUAGGUGUUUGGUAUGACUAUUUUUAAUCUUCGGAUUUUAGGUAGAAGUACUGAGUGCCGCAGCUAACGCGUUAAGCAUCCCGCCUGGGAAGUACGGCCGCAAGGCUAAAACUCAAAUGAAUUGGCGGGGACCCGCACAAGCGGAGGAGCGCGUGGUUUAAUUCGAUGGCAAUCGAAGAACCUUACCAGGGUUUGACAUGUAUCUGCAUAUCUUUGGAAACAGAGAUAGCCUUCGAGGGUGAUACACAGGUACUGCAUGGCCGUCGUCAGCUCGUGUCGUGAGAUGUAGGGUUAAGUCCCGAAACGAGCGCAACCCCUAUCCCAUGUUACAAGUGUCUUGGGAAACUGCCUCGGUAAAACGGGGAGGAAGGUGGGGAUGACGUCUGGUCCGCAUAGUCCUUAUGUCCUGGGCUACACACGCGCUACAAUGGUCGGUACAAUGGGCAGCCAAGCCGCAAGGCGGAGCUAAUCCUUUAAAACCGAUCUCAGUUCGGAUUGUGGGCUGCAACUCGCCCGCAUGAAGUUGGAUUCGCUAGUAAUCGUGGAUCAGCCAUGCCACGGUGAAUACGUUCUCGGGUCUUGCACACACCGCCCGUCAAGCCAUGGAAGUAGGUGAUACCCGAAGGCGUCUUGCUGUUUACAGUGGGAUGACGAAGGUAACGCUUAUGACUGGGGUU
RNAcentral lists this ribosomal RNA (971 nucleotides) under uncultured bacterium CA1-17. RNAcentral's name for it is "bacterial SSU rRNA". It matches the Rfam family "Bacterial small subunit ribosomal RNA", at positions 523 to 1482 of the family's 1533-position model. The record is from RNAcentral.